This 722-nucleotide ribosomal RNA is filed under the name uncultured bacterium. Its description in RNAcentral is "bacterial SSU rRNA". It matches the Rfam family "Bacterial small subunit ribosomal RNA", at positions 8 to 719 of the family's 1533-position model. The record is from RNAcentral.
AGAGUUUGAUCCUGGCUCAGGACGAACGCUGGCGGCGUGCUCAAUACAUGCAAGUCGAGCGAGGUUACUGCGACAGAUCCCUUCGGGGUGAAGUUGCUUUAGCCUAGCGGCGGACGGGUGAGUAACGCGUGGGUAACCUACCCUAAAGUUCGGGAUAACAGCGGGAAACCGCUGCUAAUACCGGAUACCUUUACCGUGUGGCAUCACAGGGUAAAGAAAGGUAACGCUUUAGGAUGGGCCCGCGUCCCAUUAGCUAGUUGGUGAGGUAACAGCUCACCAAGGCGACGAUGGGUAGCCGGCCUGAGAGGGUGGACGGCCACACUGGGACUGAGACACGGCCCAGACUCCUACGGGAGGCAGCAGUAGGGAAUAUUGCGCAAUGGACGGAAGUCUGGCGCAGCGACGCCGCGUGAGCGAUGAAGGCCUUCGGGUCGUAAAGCUCUGUCCUUGGGGAAGAAGGUUUUCGGACUUGACGGUACCCAAGAAGAAAGCCCCGGCUAACUACGUGCCAGCAGCCGCGGUAAUACGUAGGGGGCGAGCGUUGUCCGGAAUUACUGGGCGUAAAGGGUGCGUAGGCGGCCCUUUAAGUCAGAUGUGAAAGCCCGCAGCUUAACUGCGGAAUUGCAUUUGAAACUGGAGGGCUUGAGUGUCGGAGAGGGUAGUGGAAUUCCCAGUGUAGCGGUGAAAUGCGUAGAUAUUGGGGAUGAACACCAUAUGGCGAA